This is a long non-coding RNA of Melanotaenia boesemani (Boeseman's rainbowfish), 88 nucleotides long. RefSeq lists it as uncharacterized. The transcript has 3 exons. Lineage: Eukaryota; Metazoa; Chordata; Actinopteri; Atheriniformes; Melanotaeniidae. The record is from RefSeq and is a predicted model, not a curated record.
CUGGGGAGCGGGGGGGCGGGGGUCUUCCUACGCCCUCGUGUACUGGGAUGCGCUCGGGGCUGCUGGGGGUGGAGGUUCGGUGCCUGCC